GAUGAACGCUGGCGGCGUGCCUAAUACAUGCAAGUCGAACGCUUGCUUGAGGACUUGUCUUCAAGCGGGAGUGGCGAACGGGUGAGUAAUACAUAAGCAAUCUGCCCAUCGGCCUGGGAUAACAGUUGGAAACGACUGCUAAUACCGGAUAGGUGAUAGGGAGGCAUCUCUUGAUCAUUAAAGUUGGGAUACAACACGGAUGGAUGAGCUUAUGGCGUAUUAGCUAGUAGGUGAGGUAACGGCUCACCUAGGCGAUGAUACGUAGCCGACCUGAGAGGGUGACCGGCCACAUUGGGACUGAGACACGGCCCAA
RNAcentral lists this ribosomal RNA (313 nucleotides) under uncultured bacterium. RNAcentral's name for it is "bacterial SSU rRNA". It matches the Rfam family "Bacterial small subunit ribosomal RNA", at positions 28 to 334 of the family's 1533-position model. The record is from RNAcentral.